Molecule: ribosomal RNA, 1350 nt
Filed under: Legionella pneumophila
Lineage: Bacteria; Pseudomonadati; Pseudomonadota; Gammaproteobacteria; Legionellales; Legionellaceae
Description: partial 23S ribosomal RNA
Rfam family: Bacterial large subunit ribosomal RNA
Source: RNAcentral
CUGACCUUUUGGUACAGAGAAGUCAUUGAUGCCCGGCUUCCAGGAAAAGCUGCUAGCCAUAACUUAUAGAGAACCGUACCGCAAACCGACACAGGUGGACAGGUAGAGAAUACUAAGGCGCUUGAGAGAACUCGGGUGAAGGAACUAGGCAAAAUGGUACCGUAACUUCGGGAGAAGGUACGCCCUUUCUGGUGAUGGGAUUUACUUUCAGAGCUGGAGAGGGCCGCAGAGACCAGGUGGCUGCGACUGUUUAUUAAAAACACAGCACUCUGCAAAUUCGUAAGAAGACGUAUAGGGUGUGACGCCUGCCCGGUGCCGGAAGGUUAAUUGAUGGGGUUAUCUUCGGAGAAGCUCUUGAUCGAAGCCCCGGUAAACGGCGGCCGUAACUAUAACGGUCCUAAGGUAGCGAAAUUCCUUGUCGGGUAAGUUCCGACCUGCACGAAUGGCGUAACGAUGGCCACACUGUCUCCACCCGAGACUCAGUGAAAUUGAAAUCGCUGUGAAGAUGCAGUGUACCCGCGGCUAGACGGAAAGACCCCGUGAACCUUUACUAUAGUUUUGCACUGGACUUUGAUGAUGACUGUGUAGGAUAGGUGGGAGGCUGUGAAGUGAGGACGCUAGUUCUCAUGGAGCCGCCCUUGAAAUACCACCCUGUUGUUAUUGAGGUUCUAACUUGGUCCAGUAAUCCUGGAUGAGGACAGUGUAUGAUGGGUAGUUUGACUGGGGCGGUCUCCUCCCAAAGAGUAACGGAGGAGCACAAAGGUACCCUCGGUACGGUCGGACAUCGUACCAAGAGUGUAAAGGCAAAAGGGUGCUUGACUGCGAGAGUGACGGCUCGAGCAGGAACGAAAGUUGGUCUUAGUGAUCCGGUGGUUCUGAAUGGAAGGGCCAUCGCUCAACGGAUAAAAGGUACUCCGGGGAUAACAGGCUGAUACCGCCCAAGAGUUCAUAUCGACGGCGGUGUUUGGCACCUCGAUGUCGGCUCAUCACAUCCUGGGGCUGAAGCAGGUCCCAAGGGUAUGGCUGUUCGCCAUUUAAAGUGGUACGCGAGCUGGGUUUAGAACGUCGUGAGACAGUUCGGUCCCUAUCUGCCGUGGGCGUAGGAAAAUUGAGAGGAGCUGCUCCUAGUACGAGAGGACCGGAGUGGACGAACCUCUGGUGCACCGGUUGUCACGCCAGUGGCAUGGCCGGGUAGCUAAGUUCGGACGGGAUAACCGCUGAAAGCAUCUAAGCGGGAAGCCUCCCUCAAGAUGAGUUUUCCCAUGAAGCCCGUUGAAGACUACGACGUUGAUAGGCAAGGUGUGGAAGCGCAGUAAUGCGUGAAGCUAACUUGUACUAAUUGGCUGAUUG